CGUUGUAUUUUUUUACUCGGUAUUUACCACAACUGUUGUUUACUGGCUUACUGCUCAUUUCUCGUCCGCCGCCGCGGUUGGGUCGGGUGAACGUUGUUCUUUGUAAACGUGGAUAACAACACAAGAAUGUAUAGCCCGCGGGCGUAUUAACAAAAUGGGGGGAUUCCGGUCCGGAAUUUGGGUGAGAGACAGACUGCAUUUAUAUAAUGCGCUCACUCCAACAAGUGGUUGACGACGACAACAAAUCGUCGACAAAGAGAAUAUGCAUAACAGGUUAGAAGUCGUAUAAUAGACGUAGUUCAUUGUUGUACACACAUUCUGUGACGCAAUACGCAUUUGUGUUUUAAAGUUUUAAUAUUGUAUCACAAUUUUUUCUGCGGUCUUAUAAUAUUUUCGAGCCAUGUCUCGUACGUGUAUUAUUUGUCGUGCGUCUACUAAAAACAGUACAAAGAAACUAUCAUAUCAUUUGUUUCCGAAAAAUGAAAUAAGGAGGCGUAUUUGGUAUGCUUCCUUGGAUAUAAAAAGUGCUUCACCCAGCCAAUCAAUUUGCGGAAAUCAUUUUGCUCCAGAAUGUUACAAAAUGCGUAAAGGCAGAAGAAUACUUAAGCGUUUUUCUGUUCCGACUUUGAAGUAAAAAUAUUGGUUCUUUAUUGAAUUCAAAAUUUUUUAACAAAAAAUAAAAACGAUGAUUAUAAUUA
This is a long non-coding RNA of Rhopalosiphum padi (bird cherry-oat aphid), 698 nucleotides long. RefSeq lists it as uncharacterized. The record is from RefSeq and is a predicted model, not a curated record. NCBI's taxonomy places the organism in Eukaryota, Metazoa, Arthropoda, Insecta, Hemiptera, Aphididae. The transcript is spliced from 2 exons.